This 484-nucleotide ribosomal RNA is filed under the name uncultured bacterium. Its description in RNAcentral is "partial 16S ribosomal RNA". It matches the Rfam family "Bacterial small subunit ribosomal RNA", at positions 30 to 507 of the family's 1533-position model. The record is from RNAcentral.
AUUGAACGCUGGCGGCAUGCCUAACACAUGCAGGUCGAGCGGAUGAAGGGAGCUUUCUCCUGGAGUCAGCGGCGGACGGGUGAGUAAUGCCUAGGAAUCUGCCUGGUUGGGGUGUAUAACGUCCUGAAACGGGCGCUAAUACCGCAGACUUCCUGAUGGUGAAAGUGGGGGAGCGUCGGACCUCACGCUAGCAUAGGAGCCUAGGUCGGAUUAGCUAGUUGGUGGGUUAAAGGCCUACCAAGGCGACGAUCCGUGAAUGGUCUGAGAGGCUGAUAGGUCACACUGGAAGUGAGACACGGUCCAGGCUACUACGGGAGGGCGCAGUGGGGUAUAUUGGACAACAGGCGAAAGCAUGACACAGUCAUGCCGAGUCUGUGACGACGGUCUUCGGAUUGUAAAGCACUUUAACUUGGGAGGAAGGGCAGUAAGCUAAUACCUUGCUGUUUUGACGUUAACAACAGAAUAAGCACCGGCUAACUUCGUG